Molecule: ribosomal RNA, 471 nt
Filed under: uncultured bacterium
Lineage: Bacteria
Description: bacterial SSU rRNA
Rfam family: Bacterial small subunit ribosomal RNA
Source: RNAcentral
GACGAACGCUGGCGGCGUGCCUAAAACAUGCAAGUCGAACGAGGGCUUCGGCCCUAGUGGCGAACGGCGGAGUAAUACAUAAGCAACGUGCCCCGAAGACCGGGAUAGCGGCGGGAAACUGCCAGUAAUACCGGAUGUGGCCGCGAGGUGGCAUCACCACGCGAUUAAACGGAUUUUCGCUUCGGGAGCGGCUUAUGGCCUAUCAGGUAGUUGGUGGGGUAAUGGCCUACCAAGCCUACGACGGGUAGCGGGUCUGAGAGGACGAUCCGCUCGAGUGGGACUGAGACACGGCCCAGACUCCUACGGGAGGCAGCAGUGAGGAAUAUUGCGCAAUGGAGGCAACUCUGACGCAGCCAUGCCGCGUGCAGGAAGAAGGCGCUACGCGUUGUAAACUGCUUUUAACCGGGAAGAAACCCCAGGACGUGUCCUGGGUUGACGGUACCGGAGGAAUAAGCACCGGCUAACUUCGUG